GCCUAGGUAGCGCAGUUGGUUAGCGCGUCAGUCUCAUAAUCUGAAGGUCGUGAGUUCGAGCCUCACCCUGGGCA
Molecule: non-coding RNA, 74 nt
Organism: Enterobius vermicularis (human pinworm)
Lineage: Eukaryota; Metazoa; Nematoda; Chromadorea; Rhabditida; Oxyuridae
Source: Rfam